GAAUUGGGUGAUACCAUCUUAAAUUCAACUUGCCUAUUCCAUCAGUUAGAGUGAUAUUUCCACGACAGUGCCAAAUUUCAAUUUGUGGCUUUGUUAGAUAAUGGUAUCCCUUAAGGUUGUCUACUUUAUUAUCUGCAUCCAUCUGUUCAGUCUAGCUCACUGGAGAAUGAAGCUUGUUUAACAACACAAGCAUGUGUUCAUUUAAAGCAAUCUCAUGUAAAUCUGGGUAAAAGAGUACUUAGCCACAUAAAUUUGAAAAUGCAUCUAUCAUUAUAUAGGUUGGUAAAAUACUGCAUAGGUUAUUUUUGCUUUUUGCAAUGUACAUAAGCAACUUAUACAACUCUUUGUAAAAGAAAAGACUUUGAACAAUUUUUUUAAAUGACAAAAUCAUGUCCACAUCACACGUGAAAUAUCAAUGUCUUCUAUAACAUCAUUUCAAAAUCACUGUAUGGUAUAUUUGGGUAUUACUUUUAUAGGAAUGUAAAAAGGACAUGCCAGCUAGGAGGUAAGGAGGUGGUUGUGUUUGGUGGACACAGAUGGAGCCUAAGAAAGAUGGACAGGGUUUCAUCCCCACACCUCAAGUAUUGAUUGCAUGGAGGAUGCUGUUUAGACUCCAUUGGGUGGAGCUACCUUCCUAGUUGAGAGUUUGGACAUCUUUAAACUGUAUUCCAAUUUCCAACCGGUCGCCUUACUUCUGUCUCCAGAUUCUCUAUUUCAUGUGCCAGAGAAGUCUUUGGGACAGAUGACAAACCACAUCGUGUUUCAACAGUGUUAGAAAUAAGCAAUAAUCUGAGAAGAGAACAAAGAUUAUUUAACCUGGUAAUAUUUAGAGCAUCUUUUGUCAUUGUCAAUGGGAGACAUUCCACUUGCAGUCUCUGAACAUUAGGAUUCUUAAAAUCUGUGAUUCUCCUUCACUGUUACCUUCUGGUCUGUAAGAAUCUCCUGAAGUGUGUACAGCAAGAAGAAACCAGUCGCAAACCAGGAUGAUGUACAGAUUCUCUGAAAAGCUCUUUUCCAUGAACGUAGAGAAGCAGGAGAUCACAGCCCGAGGGACUGGACCUGCAUUGGUAACCGAUUCUUUGUCAAGUUCUGGAGAUCCCCGAACUGUUUGGACAGCUGUGGGAUUCUCAACCUCAGGCUGGCUUACAGGGUCUUUGGCAAGAUCAAGAGCAAUUCUUUGCCUCUGAUCUGUGUCCCUGCCUGGCCCGACAGCAUCAGGACAGCCUCUCUCAUUGUGUGUUGCUCCCCAAAAGGCAAGUGUGUGAAGGGCGAUGAUUGAACUGAAAUUUAUUUCAAGCAGAUAAAACUUGUAGUGUUGGGCUUUUACAGACAGUAUCAAGUAGCCAUAAGCCAACUCUGCAGGAAUCUGGGGAAAAAAGGAAAAGGACGGCACAUUUGAGGUGAUCUAGAAGCUUUACCAGCUACAAAAACAAAGACAAAAUAAAUGUAGAUGUAUAAUGUUUUGAACUUCAUCCUGCCUUUCAAAUGUUUACAUUUCAUUGGACAUCUUUGGAUUUGGAUUAAAAAGGAUUUUUUUUUUUGAUCAUGGAGUAUCAACUCAGCUUCAUAAGGUUUACCGUGAAAGGCCAUGCAUUUGGGACUUUCCUAUGCAUGUGUGACAGUUUUUUUUUUAACUCCUAAGCAUUUUCAACACAGCCCAAAAUCUAGCCCCACUAAUUACUUUAUUGGACACAUAAAGCUUCUGUGUGGGUGAUGGUAUUGAAAUGUAAAUAUAAAAUGGAAUAAUGAAUGUAUAUGAACUGUUCAUUGAUGUUAGGAGAUGAAGAGAAUGAAGUUCAACAUGUAAUGGUUUCAUUUCAUUGUAUUUUGUUUACUGAAAACGUUCUUGGAAUAUAAUACUCAAGCACAGAGGCCUACAUUUAUAGACAAAUCUGUUAUUUUGGAUAACCUUUUAAAUGGUGGUUGUGAUACUAGAGCUGGUUUCCUAGGAAGUUUCUAAUAACAUGUUUGAUAAAAUUGUCUUCCGGAAAAUAUUUUAGACAAGAAUUCUGAGGACGUUUGUAAAGAUAUACACAAUUCUAUAUUCAUUGUGUUCUCAGGGAUAACAUAAAAGGAAUGGCGCGCUUAAAAUGUCAAUCAGGAAAAAAGUAAGGCACUAGUAUUGUGUUGCAUAUUGAGAAUACUGUGCAUGAAAAAAACCAAAUACAAUUGUUUUCUGACUUUUCCUGAUACAGUUGUUAACAGAGUUUGGUAAGAUAUAUAGAAGAAAUAUUUUAAUACGUGAUUAUAAAACUAGAACUGUCAGAAUACCUCUGAAUGAUGUGCAUUUAAAAUCAUUUGAAUAGGUUAUUGCUGUGGGACGUUGGGGAAGGUGGAUUUUUCCGUAUACAGCUGUCACGUGGACAUGAUAUUCAGGCUGCUCUGCGGGGAUGUAGAUGUUACUGUGUAAAUGGUGUCUCUGUUAAAACAUGUGGUGUGAGGGAAUGGUCUCUCUAUGCUUGAUAAGUCCAGAGCUGUGAAGGCUUUGUGAUUACUUGUAAAGUGCUGUUACACCAUCUUAAUCAAGCAUGGAGGUGGCUGACAUUUGGGGCUUCACUCCAAGCUCAGAUGUUGGGAAUCCACAUAAGUUUUGUAAGUGGUUCUAAUGUUAAAUACCUAGAUUUCAAACUUAAUUUAUUUCUGCUACGUACUGCUAUACAUUUUGUUAUAAACAGUGUUACAAAUGUUAAAUAAUUUUGUUUCAAUAAGCAAUUUUCUACAUGUAUAUACAUGAUUGUAAAUGUACUAUAAAUAUGUAUCAACUUACUAGGAUAGAAUCUUUUUUGUUUGCCAAAGAUGUUAGAUAUAGCCUCUCUUGUGUGUUCUCUGUACCCUUAGGCUCUGUUUUCAAGUUGCAGUAAAGGCAAAUGUACAGGCCCCUGCUUCGUGACACGACUCACCCCUGGAAGUGUCGUGGCAGCUGCAGGUUGGCCUUCAUUUUUGGUUUUCUGAGUGUGUGCAGGUACAUCACAGUUCUUGGCACAGCUUAGAGACAUCUCUACAUGGGAUAAAACAGCCUUCAUUAGGAAAGGUUUAAUUUGCCAACGCAACCUGACUUUUAGUGAUACUAGUCAAUUUUUCUUGUUUUUAAGUACUUUUUUAUAGUUGUAUAGGUGUUUUUUAUGUGUUUUACGGGGACAUUAGCAAUGGUAUAUUAUCAAACCCAAGUUCAUUAAAUGUGGGCUGACAAAAGAAUGUUUUUGUAUUAUAUGUAUAUAGUAGACACAGUAUUAUGUUUUUAAAGCAUAGGAGCUACUAUAUUUGCAUGUUUUAUAGGUAUAUUUAUUAUAUAUAAAGUGCAAACUUCCCUAAUGGUUGUCGUAUUAUCUCUGAAUAAAUAAUUAGGCAGCUGAUGGGGUAUUUUUUAGAUCAGUGUAUAUAAAGUGGUUAGAAUGUGUAAGUUUUUGCUUUAAACUUUUAGUCCUUCAAAUAAAGGAUUGUUUACAUAUUCAUAUGUGUAUACAUUUAUACACAUAUACCUACAUGUACAUAUGUGUAUAUGAGUGUAUAGAACUGCUCAUUAAAAGUCAGGAUAGAGACUUACUGGAAGAUACUGUGAGGCUGCUAGCUAAUUACAUAGUGGACAAAUGUUUUGUUUUACAACAUCUGCAUAGGAUUUGUUGAUAGACAUAUUUUGUGAUUACCAAACUAAUCAGUUGAGAAACCUAUUUUGCAAAUUGAAUUGCUAUACUGUGUCUAUUUGGGAUAUAUUCGGUUAAAGAUGAUUGUAUUGUUUUUGUACAUAGAGGCUGAAUGUUUUCUAAAACAGUUUGGGACAUAGAAUUUCUAUCAAUUUCAGAAGUGUGUGUUCACUGAACUGUUGAAUGUAGUCACUGUUUGGUCUACAGAGUAUGCUUCUUCAUGAGUUAGGCUUCAUUUUGAGGAUUUGUGUUUUUGUGUUUUUUUUUUCUUUAGACAUUCUUUGAAUGUAGAAAGUGUAGAAAUCAUUGCCAUUUAUAUUUUAAACUAUGUAAACAUGCAUACAUUUUCUUCCAAUCUAAUUUUUGAAUGUUAACUGUUUGGACCGAGCAGGGAAGUUUUUGACUGCUGUAUGUAUAGUAGACAAGCUUCUUAGAGCAUGGGGACUGCCUAGGUGUAUAAAAGUGCCCUCUCUCCACGCGUACUAGGCGCGCACACACGCACACGCACACACACAGAGAGUAAAUAUUUUGAUGUUGAAUAUUGUGAAGGGGUGACUGAUCUGAUCAGAUCUUUGUUUCUAUACCACAUAACCUUGUAGAUAGGCAGAACUUUGUCAUUGUAAAAUAUGUUUCAUCUAAACUUGGCUGUUUUUGCCUGGUGCUGUUUUUUGCCUGGUGACAUGGUACACCAAUCUGGUCUGCUGUGAUCUUUAGACUGCCCUGUACUCAUCUUUAAAACACUUGUUCAUUGCUGGUACAGUUUUAAUUAUCAGAAGCUUUAAAUAGAGUUUCUGUCUGCAUUUGAGUGGAUUAAUGGCUAUGGACAAGGGUAGUGGAUGUUUUCUGGUUUCUCAUGUAUGAUUCUUUUUUCAUUACAUCUACUCUUCCGCACAUGCAUAUGCUAGUCAAGGCAUGUUAAAAUAUAAGGUUGAAAUAUGGUUGCAAAUUAUUUAAAAAACUCUAUCUAGGUGGCUCUUUGAUUUGUUAAAACAACUGUGUUUAUAAUAAUUGCUUUAGGACAAUUGGGCUUUGUAAAUAUGUAGGCUGUUGAUAAGACAGGAUGGUAGAGGGUAGAAAUUUUUCCCAGGGUAUCAUUCCCCUUCAUGUAACCUUCAUUGGAUUGGUGGGAUUGUUGAAGACAAAUUACUUAAAAACUGUUGUCAUGUUAGUGAGGAGAUAUAGAGUAAGCAUUGACACUAUUUUUAACUAAAUUUAUUAAGGUGACUGGUUAAUAACAUAAUGUGUUUCAAGUGUGCAUUUCUAUGAUAUAUCAUCUGUAUAUUGCUCUGUGUGCCCAUCACCCAAAGGCAGAUCACCUUCUGUUACCAUGUGUUGGGUCCCCUUUACCCUUUACUAGCCCCAACCCCUUGCCUACAACAAGAAUGAACCUCGAGAAUAUCAUGUUAAGCAAAGCAAGUGAAGUCAGAAAAAGCUGAGAACUGUAUGAUUUCACUUAAUGUGGGAUACAAAGCAUUGAAAGCAUUUUUACCUCAUGUUUUUAUUUAGAAGAAAAAUUAGAUAGUAAUCAUUAAAUCAAUUUUAUAUAAAUUGUCCAUUUUAUAUAAAAAUACCUCUAUUUCAGGGACAUGUAUGGUAGUUAUAUCUUAUUUUCCCAGAUACACUGAGGUUCAUGGUGGAAUUUGAUUUAACAUUUACAGAUUCUCUAAAAUACACGGUUCUGUGUUCAUUUGUUACAUAGCAAUAACCAAGACAACUUUGUAAAUAACGGACAAGUGAAAUAUCUGGUUGUACUGAGAGUCUCACAAAGUAUAAUCCUGUAAAUACUUUACUGUAAAUUUGUUACUACCAUUGUUUUUUAAAAAUACCAUGGCAAAGAAAUUAAUCAUUGAUAAAGAGACUCUUGGAGCUUUGAAAAAUUUAUAUAUUAAUUUGGUUAAGAGGAGAAAUGGACAAGAUAAUGCAUUUGCCCCAUUCUCAAAGAAGAGUUUGACAUUUUGACAAGUAUGAAUUGUUACUUUAGAAUACCAUGAGGGAUAUACUUAGUGUUUUGGAUAUACCAAGCUUCCUGAUAUGUUUCUCUUAAUAAUAGUUUUAUUAAUACUUUUGAAAAGCAGUUUCAAAUUCACAGCAAUAUUGAGGGGAAGGCACAAAGACUUCCCUUCCCCACACACAUGCAUAACCCUCCUUGCCAUCAACCCGAAGUUCGGGAAUGAUGCCUACUGUUAACAUCCCCCACCAGAGGGGCACAUUUGUGACAGUUGAUAAACCUACAUCAAAACAUCAUAAUCACCCAAAGUCCAUCGUUUACAUUAAAUGUUCGGUCUUGGUGUUGUACAUUCCAUGAGCUUAUGGCAUACAGCCAUUAUUAUGGUAAACACAGUAUUUUCAUUGCCCUAAAAGUCCUUUGUACUCUGCCUAUUCAACCUUCUGUAUUUUUUCUCUUUAUUUAAACAUUCAAGAUAUUAAUGACUUCAUCAAGCGGAUUUUAUACUACCUCUUGGAACUAUACACAGUUCUGUAUGUGUUCCCUUGGCUGCAUGACAAUAUUCAAGACAACUUUGUAAAUAACAGGCAGAUACACGUUUUUUUUUUUUACUUUAUAACAUCUAGUCUUUCCAUAUGUAUAGAGUCUCACCAGGUAUACUUAUGUAAAUAAUUGUAAAACUUCAUGGUGAUUUGUUGGAAAUGGGUUGACCUCAAAGUGGCUAGGAUGGUGGGUUUUUAGAGCUUGUACAUAUCUGUGACCUGUUGGUGUUAGGGGAAGGAAAGGUAUAAGGGAGUGUACCUUCACUCCUGACUUCUUGCUGUACAGGAAAGUUUACAUUUAAGCCAUUGUUCAGUGCUUGUAUUACUACAUGUCAUAAUUGUGUAUUUGUAUUGCUAAUAGGGCAUUAUGUAUUUUAAUCAUAGGAAAUGUUUUUAUUGGAACUUUUGUUCUCCCUCUUUGAAUUAUACACUUUUGUACUUAAUUGGGCUGCAUGACCACAUUCAAGACAACUUUGUAAAUAACAGGCAUAUAAUUUCAAUUUAAACAUCUAGGUUUUCUAGAUGCUGGGAGUUUCGCAAAAUUUUGUAAAUAUUUGAUGGCAAAUGUAGUUGGCUUUUGUAAUGUUUCAGCAAUGUGACAGAUAAUGGGUAACAGUCUGCCUCCAAGGGCUGUGGAAACAUUCUGAUGUUUGUUGAGUGAGGUUUUGCGAUAGGGGUUGACAUAUCAACUGCUUAUCUUCAUGUUAGGUUCUCAUUUAUAAGAGAAGAUUAGAUGGUACACCUGUAACAGAAAAUACACCUGGGACGUACUUUUAUCUUCAGUAGGAAGAAAAAGAUUUGAGAAGGGAAUUGUCACUUAGUCAUGUUCUGAAGUACUCAGUGAUACAUUCAGAGAUGGAAGACAGUCACAUUGCUGAUGUAAUUGUUAUUUUGCUAUGCUAGAUAAAUUUCUGCAAAUUUACAUACCCACAUAGCCAUAUAUAGUAAUGCAUAUACACAUAUGUAAAAUUAGUUUUAGGAAUAUAGUUUUGAAAAUGUUUCUUUUUACAUUUAUUAGUUUACUGAUUUUCAUUUUAUUUUCCUGAAAAUUUAUGGAAAUGGUAUUCUUAGUAUUCUUAUAGACUGCUUCAUGUUACAUUUAAAUGUAUGUUAAUUUUUAUAUAAGCUUCAUAUCUUAAUUUUAGUCUGUUUUCAUAUAUAUGCAUCUCGAUGGGAAUUUCUCUGGUUACAAAUAUUUUUUAAAUUCUCUGAGAGCUUUUUAAAGGUUUCUGGUGAAUUGAUAUAUUUGAAUGUUAUGUGACAAAUGCCAAAAAUGUUGACUCAGUUGUCUAUGAUGUAAAUUUAAAGUACAAAAUUUGCUUAAGAAAGGUGGUCCUAUCCAGUAUUGAUCAGAGCAUAUAUGUAAUAUCUUUUUGAACAUCUGUUGGUAAUGACAAUCAAAAUUGAAUGUGUAAAAUUUUAGAAAUGAUGUAAGGUACUGCUGUGAUUUUUAUCUGUCCCAACUCUCAGAUUUACAAAGAAGAAAGUAAGUUACAGAUCAAGUGUAACGUGGACCACUGAUAUAGACACCACCAAAAGAAAGAUUGUAAUGAUGGUAGCUUAUAUGUUGUAAGUAUAGCUUAAACACUUGUUUGAUAAAACAUUCUUAAGUGGAAGUGUUUUAAGUCGAUACUUAAAAUGGUCAUUUUUGAACAAAGACUGAGUAAUUGUGUUUCCAGAGGUAUGACUGUAUGCCUCUAGUUCUGCUCACUGGGGAAUGAGAUUGUCCUGUUAAGAUUAAAGAGUUAAGUAAUGAUUGUUCAUCAUCAUUGCGACUAUAAUGGUAAUUGUUUUGGCAUUCUUUCUGAAAUUUCUGUACAUGUACUAGCUACAUAGUGAGGCAUUGUUUAAUCCAUGUAUUUGUAUAUUGCUACACGACAAUCUACAAUGAGUGUAAUGAGUUAUGAAAGAGAAAGUUGUCCGGAGGAUCAUGGCAAAAUUUAAAUGCAUGGAGAGAUGGAAAAAGGAGGACUGCCUGUACUUUUCUGCAUUUAAAAUUUAAAAGGCAUUUCAAACGGAACAUUUAAUGAAUAAGGAAUUUUAACGAUAUAACCAACUUGUGCCUGUCUUCAAUCUUGCCUAUAAACAUCUGGGGAAUAUGGGGCCACUGUGUCCUGCUUUGUAUUCCCGUUGGCCAUUGUGAAUGGUGUUUGAGUGAUCAAGAAGAACACGUGACUGAGACAAGUGCAGCGGCGAGCUGGCCGUGUAAUACAGAGAGUCGAUCACCCAAGGAGAGAGGAGGGAGAGGAUAGUGUUGGAGGUGAACAUGAUGAGAGAGAAAUGUAUUUGCAGAUAAUAUGCACAGACCAAUAACAAAAGGAAUGAACAUCUGUCUUUCUGUGGAGUUCCUUUAUGCUUAAAUUUCAACUGAACCACAGGAGCUGAUAGUUCCAAGAACCUACACUUUUUGCUGUCCUGUCCUUGUUACAAAUCCCGAGAAUUGGCACCGCCGUUUUCUGCGGAGCAGUCGUCAACUGAAAUGCGCUUCGCACCUGGCUCUGCUCAUCAUUGACAGGACUGAGGGUGGCCGGCUGGCUGGCUGCUCCUCUGAUGCAGGGAGGUCCCUUCACGAGACAGUAGAGAUGACUGUCCAGGAGCCCAUGCCCUUGCUUCCGCCACCAUCUUCGAAACCAAAAGACAGUCUUCAUCUUGUGUUGGAGAUGCCACUUCUGUGCGUGGCCAUGGACACUUCCUACAGAUCAGACACACGGGACUGAGAAAGCCCGUGUGGGAAAGUGCCCCAGUGGGUGUCGUGGAGAGACUUGUAAGCAGGCAUGUUGGCUGUUUCCAUUGUUGCUGGUGGACUGAGUCCCAGGAGAUGGAGCAAGGGAGCCAUUUCUCCCAGGAGGCCUUGGGACAAGCCGUGGCGGGGCCCCGCCCACGCUCCUGUGAGCACUGAGGGAAUGUGUCUGACUCCACGCACCGUAGGGUGGAUUUGAAAUGUAGUCACUAGAAGUCAUCUUGUGAUUUUAGAGGACAUAGAUAGUUUUCAAGUAUAUAUUCAGUAGUUUCCCUUCAAGUGCCUUUGUUUUCCUUUUUUUUUUUUUAGUACCCAGUAUAGAUUGCCUCUUUUUAAUUUUUCAAUUAUAUUAGAGAUUCAUCACUAUUUUAUAUUAUUAGAUUUAGGUAUCCAGCACAGUAAUUAGACAGUCAUAUACUUCAAAAUGUUCCACCCCAUAUUUCAGGCACCCACCUGGUACCAUACACAGUUCUCAAACUGUUACUGGUUCCGCUCCCUGCGCUGUGAUCAUCAGUGGAGUGUUGUGCACACCCUCUUGGGUUGUGUUGACGAAUAAAUUGGUAGUCAAGUAGUGUUUUGGUGCCCAGGUACUGGCUACAUGUUUUCUGUGCAGUAAAUGUGCAGUUGUAGAACUCACUUUGAAUUUGUUCCAAGUAAUUUGCUGAAAUAAUUUUAAGUCGUUAGAAAAGCUGAGUGCUGAAGAAGUCCAAAAUUUAUAUUUUGAGUCAAACAGUAGCAGCCGCCUAAUUGUAGAGAGUCCUCAUCAAUCUCGGCGUGUAUGAGAGUUCAGACUGCACAGCACAGCAUGUGUAUGCUUUGACAGUGUGACACCACGGAGAAAUUAUCAGUCAAUGUUCAGGACACUCAUCAUAGUCUCAAUUCUUAAUUGCCAUUUGUAUUUCCUUUUUUUUUUCCAGUUCCCAUGGAUUAUUGGUGUCUUUGUAACUGGUUUCUUAAGAGCUCAUUUAUGAUGAAAGUGUUAACCAUAUCCCAUGCAUUGCAAAUGUAAUACCAUAUUUUUGUUAUUUUACUGUGCUGUUUUAGUUUUUGGUUGUAAGCAAGUUGUGUAUUGAAAUAUAAUCAUUCUGUUUUAUGCCUUUUGUGUUCGUGUUUUUCUUUAAGAACAUGUUUACAUUAUCAUACACUAUUGUCUCUAUUUCCUUCUAUUUUCAUCAAUUAUUUUGUCGUUUUAUUUCUUUUUUGGUGAACCAUUGCAGUGGUUUGGUAUGCAUUAUAUAUACAAAGUUCUCACCCUCACCUACGCAGUUAACCAAUUCUCUUAAAACCUCUGUCACAUAGAAAUCCCCACGUUUAGUCGGCCGACUUUCUGUGUUGUCUCCUGUUAAUGCUUCAGAAUUACUGAUGCUUGUUAGUCUGACCUUGUCCAUUGAGUUCUGUCUCAUUUCUCUUCUUUUUCAGAACAUUCCCUGUCUAUAAUCGCACUUUUUCCUCUCAGUUGCUGGUUAAAAUUACUUUGCAAGUUGGAAAAUAAGUGCAGUUUUAUUACAUUUGCAACAAACUUAAUAGAUUACUUAGGAGACAGUAAAUCUCUUUAGAAGUGAGCCAUCUUACACAACAACAGUUUUAACUGAGGUGAUACCAGUGUAAGAAGUGAGACCUCUUAGACGCUGGCAUUUCUGUGUCCACAUUCUAGUCUUGUUUGUCAUUUCUGUGGAGUUUUUCUUCAAAGUGCUGCAUUUUCCAUAAGCAAGGACCAAAGAGAUUGUGACUGCAGGUCGUCAACGUUGAACAACAGCAUCCUAGACAUCUGCGGAAGUGGCUCCAUCCACAGCGUCCCCCUGAUGCUGUCGUGCUCCCUGCUUUGGGAAGCCGACCGUGUCUUUGUUUCUCAGGAAUAGGACUGACCUGCUGUUUGGCAAGUAAUUGCCUGGAAUGUUGUUAAGGACUUCUCUUGUGCUCUGAACGUAUCACAUGAUGUUGCGUAUUUUAUUUAUCCUCACUGCAUUUUUAAGAUCCAUGUCUUAAUUUACCGAUGGGAGUGAGAUACAGGUGCCUGUUAAAUGUAAUUACACAGCAUAAGGACACCUUGGUGACAGCCUGACUUUCUCACAAGCCAAGUGUCUCCCAUGGACAAUUAAGGGUACCAUUUUUAAGAGACUUUCUUGUUCAUUUGAAUCAUGAACCCACAGUUUUUAUUGAGGUCCCAAACAAGAUCAUUUUAUGACAUCUGU
Molecule: long non-coding RNA, 11060 nt
Organism: Phyllostomus discolor (pale spear-nosed bat)
Lineage: Eukaryota; Metazoa; Chordata; Mammalia; Chiroptera; Phyllostomidae
Exons: 7
Source: RefSeq, a predicted model, not a curated record